Long non-coding RNA from Microcebus murinus (gray mouse lemur), 3322 nucleotides. NCBI's taxonomy places the organism in Eukaryota, Metazoa, Chordata, Mammalia, Primates, Cheirogaleidae. The record is from Ensembl.
GCUACGUCCAACUCCGUGGCUGCAGGUGACUGGCAGCCUGGUGACUGAAAGCCACUCCUGCCUGCAGACCUGUCGGUGCGAACCCCCCGUGGACGACCGCUGACCGCCCUCCCAGCCUCGCCUCCGUUCACUCACCCAUUCCCACACCCCUGACCGGUGAGUGCGUCUGCUCUUCGGGUUUCCCCUGAACCAGUCGUAGCAUUUACCUGUUUCUCCUAAAUUGAUUUAAGAGUAGAAUAAAAUCUUUAGCACAUUCUUUUAAAAAAAAUCUAUGAAUGACAGUCAUGAUUUUUAAAGAAAUAAACCAAAUAGAAGACAGUCAUGAUUUUGCCUCUGUUUUUUUUUUUUGAGACAGAGUCUCACUCUGUUGCCCGGGCUAGAGUGCCGUGGCGUCAGCCUAGCUCACAGCAACCUCCAACUCCUGGGCCCAAGCGAUCCUCCUGCCUCAGCCUCCCGAGUAGCUGGGACUACAGGCACGUGCCACCAUGCCUGGCUUAUAUUUUCUAUGUAUAUUUUUAGUUGUCCAGCUAAUUUCUAUUUUUCUAAUUUUCUAAAUUUCUAAUUUUCUAUUUUUUUUUUUUUAGUAGCGACGGGGUCUCCCUCUUGCUCAGGCUGGUCUCAAACUCCUGAGCUCAAAGGAUCCUCCCGCCUCGGCCUCCCAGAGCGCUAGGAUUACAGGCGUGAGCCACCGCACCUGGCUGAUUUUGCCUCUUUCUGAAAAGUAUUUUUUAAAAGAAUGGCAGUGAGAGACUCACCAGGCGGAAGGCAUGCGCGUUCCCAGCGUGGCCGCAGAGCGACAAGUAGCCGGACGCGGAUCCCUAGGGGAGUGGACCCCUGUGAGCUGCUGAGAGGGGCGGACUCCUGAGCCCCCACCCAGGAAGCGCGGAGGCAGCUGGAGGAUAUUGAAGAACUGCUCAGAAUCGAUGGCCGGGUGUCGGCACAACUGGGGAUUUCAUGGCGAGGUAUCACCUUCCGGCUGGGAGGAGCAGGGGCUCCGUGCUCGGGCCCCGCCUGUCACCUGCUCUGUGUGUCGGGACGCUCAGCCGCCCUCGCAGCCAGCGGGCGGGGAGGGGAAGAGUUCCCGCCACUGUCUCCUGAGAUGGGACAUACAGGAGACACACGGGCCUUGCCCGACGCUACAGCGGCAGCCUGCUGUGCCUGGUGUUCGGAAGGGGCUGAACACCCUGGGGACCAGCAGUCAGCUUCCCUUUUCCAGCCCUCCCAGCACUCGGCUGCUCAGACAGGGAAUCUCGUCUCUAGCUGGGGCCUCCGGAACUCCGGGUCCUCCAGCCGUCUUCCUGAAAACCGCAUGUAUAUGCAAGUGUCAGUGACUCACGCAGCUUAAAUGCAGCUUCGCCACUCCCUCUCCGGCUGCCAGGAGAAUCUUCCGAGGGGUUUGUGUGUGAAGGUGAUGACCAUUGUUUUUUUAAGAAUGAUACAAUGCUCAUGCUCAAACGAAACAACAAGCAAUAUGGCAAAGUACAAAGAAGGAAGUAACAAAAAGUAACAAGAUUCCUCCCAUCAGGCCAGCUUCAUGACUGCAGAAUUUUUUUUUUUUUUGGAGACACAGUCGCGCUCUGCUGCCCAGGCUGGAGUGCAGUGGUGCGAUCACAGCUCACUGCAGCCUCCAACUCCUCUGAUCCUCCCCCCUCAGCCUCCCAAGCAUCUGGGACUACAGGUGUGCACCACCACGCCUGGCUAAUCUUUUAAAUUUCUUUGUAGAGAUGGGGCCUUGCUAUGUUGCCCAGGCUAGUCUCACCUCAACCUCCCAAAGUGCCAGGAUUACAGACGUGGGCCACCGUGCCUGGCCUAGGGCAGGAUUCUAACUGCUCUGUUCUCUGCUGUAUUCCUAGCACCUAGAACUUCCUGGCACAUUUAAUAAAGCCCACUCUCCGGUGUUAACAUUUUGCAAAUGUCCUACGUACACAAAGAAGUUUGGAGAGAUAAAGAGGGUUAGGUGGUGUUGGGCUCAGAAAGCCAUACCCCAGAGACUGGCGCUCAGAUGUGCUGAGAGGCCUUAGAAGCUGCCUCAGAAUCAGGGUCCUUUAGCUUUCUUUUUUUUGAGACAGAUUCUCACUCUGUCACCUGAGCUAGUGUGCCGUGGUGUCAGCUCAGCUCACAGCAACCUCCAAACUCCCGUGGUUCAAGCGAAUCCUCCUCCUCAGCCUCCGGAGUAGCUGGACUACAGGCAUGCGCCACCAUGCCCGGCUUUUUUUUUUUUUCUAUUUUCAGUUGCCAGCUAAUUUCUUUCUAUUUUUAGUAGAGACGGGGUCUCGCUCUUCCUCAGGCUGGUUUCGAACUCCUGACCUCAAGGGAUCCUCUCACCUUGGCCUCCCAGAGUGCCGAGGGACUACAGUGGGAUUACAGGCAUGAGCCACCCCACCCCGCCCCUUCAGCCUAGUCUUGUUCCCUCCCUGCCCCCAAGUAAAGGGAGGGACUGUCUCUGGAAUUUCCUUAUCUGACUAAGAAAGCUUCUUCGUGGGAAGGAAAAAAACCCCACACAAUUACUUAAGAUCCCCUCCCUAGGAAUUCCACCAAAUAACCAGGAAAGAUCAACCACCCAGAAGAGAGUGAGUGUUGGCCCAGACAGACUUUCCAUCUCUUCUUCUGAAGCUGCUCCAAGAUUACCUGGGGGCCGUCAGCUGCUUAAUAAGAGGAGCUUUGUUCCCCAGCCGUUCUGCCCCUCACCUUCCUGUCACUGGCCCAAGCUAGCCCCCACAGAGAACCCCGCUACCCACUGUGUGAGCACUGGGCCUGUCUGCCUCCUCCACCCCCGCUCCCCUCUGCCCAGUGAAGAGGGAAACAAACAGCCCCUCUGGGGGGUCAUCUUUUGUAUGACUCCCAUGCACGAGUGCACAUAAUAAACCUGCCAUGCUUUUCUCUUGUCAACCUGGUUUUUGUGAUAGGGGCGAGGGGAGGAAAGGGAUCACCCCAUUUCUGCCCCUACAGUUCAGAAAAGGGAAAUAGGCCCAAAUAAUUUUACAUUGCCCAGGCUGGUCUCGAACAUGUGGCUUCAAGCAAUCAUCCCGCCUCAACCUCUAAAAGCAGUGGGAUUACUGGCCAGAGCCAUCCUUCCUGGCCCCAAAUAACUUUAAAAGAUGGGAAUGUACCAUAUGUGUUCUAUUUCAAACUAAAAGUAUUUAAUUUUACUUGAGUUUAAUAGAAAAAAAAGACAGAAAAAUGGCUGAAUCUUAGAUAAAUAUUUAUUUUCCACAGGAGAUAUUAGUUCAUAAAUGGAUUUCUCUAAGCUUCAAGAAAGAGAGAGGAUAACGAGGGCGCGCGGGCUCAUGCCUGUAACCUAGCACUCUGGGAGCCAAGGCGG